RNAcentral lists this long non-coding RNA (477 nucleotides) under Dermacentor andersoni. RNAcentral's name for it is "uncharacterized LOC126525071". Lineage: Eukaryota; Metazoa; Arthropoda; Arachnida; Ixodida; Ixodidae. The record is from RNAcentral.
UUUUCAUGUCGCUCUGCAAUUUUCUCUUUGAUACUUCUCGUAUAGUUUUACAAUUUGAGUUGUUGAAUAAUUAAGACUAAUUAUCCAAUUAGGCGGAAUAAAACACAUAAUUCGAGUAUCUGCAAGCGACGGCAAACAUUACCUUUGUUCUCUCCAACUACGUGGCAUGUGCAUAUUUUUAAACUCUGGCUAAAGUUAGCUGGGACACCCCGUAUGCAGCGGGCUAAAUGCUCUGACAAUUUCUGAUGCUCCUGUUUUGAUCAUUUCUGUUAUAGGGGCUCAGCGACAAGGAAGCGGAAUGCGGGAUUAAACUCAUCGACCAGUGACCUGGUCCCCGUCAUAACGUCACGCAUUUGUAUUCCUGGCAUCUCCGAAUUAAAAUGCAAAGCUUGCUUGUUCUUUAAUUGCUGCCGUUUGCUGUGGCACACGCAGCAAGACAGUUUACGAAAAUAAAAGCAGUUCUGUGCUUGAAAAGUU